RNAcentral lists this unclassified non-coding RNA (200 nucleotides) under soil metagenome. RNAcentral's name for it is "partial contains internal transcribed spacer 2 and large subunit ribosomal RNA". The record is from RNAcentral.
UUACUACGAGGCUUGGAUUUGGAAGCUGCUGGCGCAAGUCGGCUCUUCUUAAAUAUAUUAGCUACUUGUCCGUGGGUUGGCUCAGAGUGUGAUAAGUAUCUACACUCGGUGGCUGCCUGCAUUGGAUGUAGCUUCUAAUCGUCUUCGGACAACUUUUAAGAUCUGGCCUCAAAUCAGGUAGGACUACCCGCUGAACUUAA